UACGGGGGGGGUAAGCGUUGUUCGGAAUUACUGGGCGUAAAGGGCUCGUAGGCGGCCAACUAAGUCAUACGUGAAAUCCCUCAGCUUAACUGGGGAACUGCGUGUGAUACUGGAUGGCUUGGAUUUGGGAGAGGGAUGCGGAAUUCCAGGUGUAGCGGUGAAAUGCGUAGAUAUCUGGAGGAACACCGGUGGCGAAGGCGGCAUUCUGGACCGACAUUGACGCUGAGGAGCGAAAGCCAGGGGAGCAAACGGG
This 253-nucleotide ribosomal RNA is filed under the name uncultured bacterium. Its description in RNAcentral is "partial 16S ribosomal RNA". It matches the Rfam family "Bacterial small subunit ribosomal RNA", at positions 524 to 776 of the family's 1533-position model. The record is from RNAcentral.